This 482-nucleotide ribosomal RNA is filed under the name uncultured bacterium. RNAcentral describes it as "partial 16S ribosomal RNA". It matches the Rfam family "Bacterial small subunit ribosomal RNA", at positions 30 to 507 of the family's 1533-position model. The record is from RNAcentral.
AUUGAACGCUGGCGGCAUGCUUUACACAUGCAAGUCGAACGGUAACAGCACUUCGGUGGCUGACGAGUGGCGAACGGGUGAGUAAUACAUCGGAACGUGCCUAGUAGUGGGGGAUAACUACUCGAAAGAGUAGCUAAUAUCGCAUGAGAUCUAAGGAUGAAAGCAGGGGACCUUCGGGCCUUGCGCUACUAGAGCGGCUGAUGGCAGAUUAGGUAGUUGGUGGGAUAAAAGCUUACCAAGCCGACGAUCUGUAGCUGGUCUGAGAGGACGACCAGCCACACUGGGACUGAGACACGGCCCAGACUCCUACGGGAGGCAGCAGUGGGGAAUUUUGGACAAUGGGCGCAAGCCUGAUCCAGCAAUGCCGCGUGCAGGAUGAAGGCCUUCGGGUUGUAAACUGCUUUUGUACGGAACGAAAAGCCCUCUUCUAAUACAGGAGGGUCAUGACGGUACCGUAAGAAUAAGCACCGGCUAACUACGUG